CCGCGGUAAUACGUAGGGACCAAGCGUUGUUCGGAUUUACUGGGCGUAAAGGGCGCGUAGGCGGCUUGACAAGUCACUUGUGAAAUCUCCGGGCUUAACUCGGAACGGCCAAGUGAAACUGUCAUGCUAGAGUGCAGAAGGGGCAAUCGGAAUUCUUGGUGUAGCGGUGAAAUGCGUAGAUAUCAAGAGGAACACCUGAGGUGGAGACGGGUUGCUGGGCUGACACUGACGCUGAGGCGCGAAAGCCAGG
This 250-nucleotide ribosomal RNA is filed under the name uncultured bacterium. Its description in RNAcentral is "partial 16S ribosomal RNA". It matches the Rfam family "Bacterial small subunit ribosomal RNA", at positions 515 to 764 of the family's 1533-position model. The record is from RNAcentral.